This is a non-coding RNA of Equus caballus (horse), 1273 nucleotides long. The record is from RefSeq and is a predicted model, not a curated record. NCBI's taxonomy places the organism in Eukaryota, Metazoa, Chordata, Mammalia, Perissodactyla, Equidae.
CUUCUUUGGUUAUGUGUAUAAAUUGGGAGUUUGAACAGAAAUUUAAGCUUUCUCUCAACUCUAUGAUUUUAUUUUUCACUUUUUAUCCUGAUGUGCUAAGCCUUAGGAAACUAACUCCUGAUGUCACUGUUCUAGGAGUUUUUAAUGAGCAAUAUCAAAUCCCAAAUAUUUUCAAAAACAAUAAUGAAGAAAACAAACAUUGAAUGACUACACUCCAUCCUUCAGGCUCAAAGAUUUCUGAUUUGAAUCUUUGAAGACUGAGGUCAUAGGUAUAAAUCUAAGCAGAGGAUGAAGAUCCAUUAUGUUUCUUUAAAUAUUUUGGAUUUUCCCCACCACUAUAGGCAAAAUGUGGGAAGAUUGAACUGUGCUCAUAAAGAUUAUUCAAGCUCAAGUGGAAGAGAUUGUUCAUUGUCUAUGAGAAGCUCUGGGGUUUUCCUUAGGUCCCUAGGCAUUGUUUUUUUAUUUUCUUUUCAGAAAUGGAACUGAGAGUAGACUACAAACAAGCAGCUUACUGCCAAGGACAUGUGAAACCUGUUAUAUUGGUCAUUCUGGAUCCUAUUCAAGCACGUACUGUUACUAGUGAAGCCAAGGGACUAUGUAACCCCAAGGAGAAUCAGACCCAGAGACUUCACAGCAUCUGGUGGUCACAGCAGCCUGAAGAACCAGAGUGAAAGACAAGCAGCAGGAAGCAAAAGGGAUGGAGAAGAGGAUCUGUCACAUUUAGAAAGCUGGGAUUAGCAACCUGAGCAUUGUGACUGCAGAAAAGGAGAGAGCUAAUAAACAAAGAAACUCAAGUCUGAGCAGUCUGUUGCCGGAACAAGUUGACAAUACUGUUGAAGUCUGUCUAUUGGUCAGUGUCUGCCAACUUUGCUCCAGAAGAGCAGAAUGUACACCAACAAGCCUGGAUUUUUUAACAAUGAAGUUACAGCUCAGUCACCACCAUCCACUUGCAGGUGAUUUACUGGAAUUGCAGACUGACCUUCACUGGUUUUCAAGAGGCUCAGAAAAAUGCCUGGGUAACCUCCUGGCCUACCCUGCACUUGAUCUUCCAGCUACAUUUGGGAAGAUUUAGAGGAAGUAAUUACUGUUCCCGUGUUCUUAGGAAUGCUCAGCCAAAUGUUAAAUAAAAUUUUUAAAUUUAAAAAAUUUUUAAAUUUUUGUAUUCACAUAUAAAAUCAAGUUAUCACAAAAUGAAAGUUGGCUAAGAGUUUCUACACACCCAGUUUUAUUAUAUUAAUUAUAAUUACUAGAACAAAAUAGAUAAGAAAAGGUG